This 71-nucleotide transfer RNA is filed under the name Camelus ferus (Wild Bactrian camel). It matches the Rfam family "tRNA". Rfam says of the family: Transfer RNA (tRNA) molecules are approximately 80 nucleotides in length. Lineage: Eukaryota; Metazoa; Chordata; Mammalia; Artiodactyla; Camelidae. The record is from Rfam by way of RNAcentral.
GUAGGGAUAGCUCAGUGGUAGAGUGCAUGCUUAGCACGCACCAGGUCUUGGGUUCUCCCCCAAUACCUCCA